RNAcentral lists this long non-coding RNA (628 nucleotides) under Callithrix jacchus (white-tufted-ear marmoset). Its description in RNAcentral is "lncRNA (ENSCJAG00000079643.1)". Lineage: Eukaryota; Metazoa; Chordata; Mammalia; Primates; Cebidae. The record is from RNAcentral.
UUAUGGCAGAUAGAUAUUAUUAGGAGUCAGGCAACAAAACUGUCUCAGAAUGAGCUAAAAGUUUAUUAUUUGGUUUUUUUUUAGAUGGAGUCUUGCUCUGUAACCCAGGCUGGAGUGCAGUGGCACGAUCUCGUCUCACUGAAACCGCUGCCUCCCGAGUUCAAGUGAUUCUCCUGCCUCAGCCUUUCGAGUAGCUGGGAUUACAGGACUACCACAACUGGAUGAUAAGGAAGGAAGAAACACAGUUCACAGACGAAUGAGAUCAAUAGGUUGGCAUGAGUGGAAAAUGGGUUACUUCUGCAAAAAGGCCCAGCACGUAAGUAUCUCUAGAAGAAAGAAGUAAAGGGAAAAUUCUAUAGAGGGCAGAGAUUGGAAAUCAACACACUGUAAUCUACUUGGUGUAGAAGGGGAAAUGGCUUGCAGCAAACAUAUGCACAGCUUUGGUCAGUGGUAAAUUGCUCUGCCUGGUGGAAUCAGAUAUAAGAAAGCAAGGUUGGAAAAGUAGAGACAAAGAAGAUAGGGCAAGAGGCAUACGACUGGACCCAUGGGAGUUGACACUGAUGUGUGGAUAUUUGGUUUUCCCAUUUGUUCCACCCUAGUGGAGCAACAUCCACCCCGGUGGAGCAAC